UGGGGGAUAUUGCACAAUGGGCGCAAGCCUGAUGCAGCGACGCCGCGUGGGGGAUGAAGGCCUUCGGGUUGUAAAUUUCUUUUGCUCUGAACAAGGCGCACCUUGGGGUGUGUUGAGUGUAGGGGUUGAUUAGCGCCGGCUAACUACGUGCCAGCAGCCGCGGCAAUACGUAGGGCGCGAGCGUUGUCCGGAAUUAUUGGGCGUAAAGGGCUUGUAGGUGGCUGGUUGCGUCUGUCGUGAAAGCUCAUGGCUUAACGGUGGGUUUGCGGUGGGUACGGGCUGGCUUGAGUGCAGUAGGAGAGGAUGGAAUUCCUGGUGUAGCGGUGGAAUGCGCAGAUAUCAGGAGGAAUACCGGUGGCGAAGGCGGGUCUCUGGGCUGUUACUGACACUGAGGAGCGAAAGCAUGGGGGGCGAACAGG
Molecule: ribosomal RNA, 419 nt
Filed under: bacterium
Lineage: Bacteria
Description: partial 16S ribosomal RNA
Rfam family: Bacterial small subunit ribosomal RNA
Source: RNAcentral